Molecule: long non-coding RNA, 401 nt
Organism: Pristis pectinata (smalltooth sawfish)
Lineage: Eukaryota; Metazoa; Chordata; Chondrichthyes; Rhinopristiformes; Pristidae
Exons: 4
Source: RefSeq, a predicted model, not a curated record
UCGGCCGGUUCCGGCUGCGCGAUCGCCUGACGGGGAAGGUGCCGUCCUUUGGCAAUGAAAUGGUUUCCUCGCCGCCUUUUGAAAAGCUGGCGCUUUGCUGCACGUCAGGAAACCAGGUGAAAACACUGCAAACAAACAGUGCAAGACUGAUGAUGUUACUCCAUUCGGAUCCUGCAACUGUGAGCAGAUGCUGCUUGAUCCCUUGAGUUUUUCCGAUAGUUGCUGUGUCUCCUGUUUGGCGAGCUUCAUUCUGAUGUGCUGAUGAGGCAGCAAGUUUGUGGAUAUUCAAAAUAAAAUGUAAAGGCCAGGAGCUUCCACUCCAAAGUAACAUCUUCUUCUUUGGCAGUCCCUCCAGUCCAAGGAUGUACUGAAGACUUCAGGCAGCUCAUUAGUCAGCAGAA